UACAGAGGUCUCAAGCGUUGUUCGGAUUCAUUGGGCGUAAAGGGUGCGUAGGCGGCGCGGUAAGUCGGGUGUGAAAGCCCCGGGCUCAACCUGGGAAUUGCAUUCGAGACUGAAUAGCUAGGGUACGGUAGAGGGAAGCGGAAUUUCCGGUGUAGCGGUGAAAUGCGUAGAUAUCGGAAGGAACAUCAGUGGCGAAAGCGGCUUCCUGGACCAGUACCGACGUUCAGGCACGAAAGCGUGGGGAGCAAACAGG
Molecule: ribosomal RNA, 253 nt
Filed under: uncultured bacterium
Lineage: Bacteria
Description: partial 16S ribosomal RNA
Rfam family: Bacterial small subunit ribosomal RNA
Source: RNAcentral